RNAcentral lists this unclassified non-coding RNA (494 nucleotides) under plant metagenome. RNAcentral's name for it is "partial contains 5.8S ribosomal RNA, internal transcribed spacer 2, and large subunit ribosomal RNA". The stretch from base 1 to 101 matches the Rfam family "5.8S ribosomal RNA", at positions 50 to 154 of the family's 154-position model. The record is from RNAcentral.
CAAUCGCGAUAAGUAAUACGAAUUGCAGGUCUCUGUGAAUCAUCGAAACUUCGAACGCACUGCGCCCGGGAGCAAUCUCGGGCACAUUCGGUUGAGUGACAAUUUUAAUUUUUGAUACCCAGUAUCACUGUCGGUGGUUUUUGGUACCCCCAAAAUCCGCUUAGAAUCUACCGCUUUUUUCUUUUUGUCGGCGGGGUUGCCUCCCCAUUGGAAACUGGAUUUUUCCGACCUCCGAUGCUGUGUGGCCCUUAGACUGGAAACACUGAAGUGUGGAUACCUUGGGGGUGUGCCUCACUCCAUACCAUCCGCCGCAGGUGAAUCUUAUCGGCCCGACAAAAUACAUGAGAAAAGUUCUACAAACCAAUUUUUAGGGGGAACAAAAAUAGAGAGGGAGGGGGGAGUUUUCGGAUUGCCCCAACCUUCUCGCCCUUGUUUUCGCUGAAUUUUUCUAAAUUUGUCCUCAACUCGAGUGUGACUACCCGCUGAACUUAAGC